GAGCAAAAGCAUACAUAUAUGACAACAUAAAAGGAAUCUUUGGAAGCUAAUAGAAUAGAUCAGACAGUUUUAUUAUAACCGUUUAACCGUUCAGUACACAAUUUAACACGAGUUCUCUGAAAGAUUUGACAAUUUUGUGAUGAAUGCAAAAUUUAUUCUCAUCCCAAUUUUUCUAAUUGGAUCAUGUGUGGCUCAGAAAGACGCGGAUGAUUUACUGAAUGAUGUACUGAAUGAUGUUUUUCCAAGAGAAUCGAAUUUUGAAACUAUAGACCAUCCUGUUACAACAGUUGCACAAAAAAACAUACCACGACAACUAACGGGCAACUCAUUUCAGCCAUGUGGUACACGUCCUGAUAUGGUAUGUGUUCGUAAGUAUCUUUGCAAAAAUGGAAAAGUGAACAUAUAUGGUACAUACUUGAUUGAACCUCGCAUGGGUUCUGAAUGUAAUUCUAUUUUGGAAAAAUGCUGUGAUAUUAGUGAAAUAUUAGAUGAGCCAAUUUUAAACCCAAUCCCAAUAACCAGGGGCGAAGCGAGGGUCCAAGCCAUGUGGGGUGAGAUUCAGUGAAAUGCCGACCCAUUUUGUGAAUUUGCCGACUGUAUCCCAUUUUUUUUUUAAACAAUUGAGAAAAGAAAUAAAACUAUAGUUUUCACGA
This is a long non-coding RNA of Episyrphus balteatus (marmalade hoverfly), 653 nucleotides long. RefSeq lists it as uncharacterized. NCBI's taxonomy places the organism in Eukaryota, Metazoa, Arthropoda, Insecta, Diptera, Syrphidae. The transcript is spliced from 3 exons. The record is from RefSeq and is a predicted model, not a curated record.